RNAcentral lists this unclassified non-coding RNA (930 nucleotides) under Hevea brasiliensis (rubber tree). The record is from RNAcentral. Lineage: Eukaryota; Viridiplantae; Streptophyta; Magnoliopsida; Malpighiales; Euphorbiaceae.
GAAGAACCAUGCUAGAGGAUCAUGUAAUGAAAUGCAUACGUAUGCAAAAAUAUAUAUAUAACACGUUAGAAAGGAAAUAAGUUAAAUAAGCCAAUAAUCUAAGGUAUCAUCUAGAGAGAGAUAUUUUCUCUCUAACUUGUAGAGAGAGAUAUUUUCUCUCAUCCCUUUCUUUGGUUCUAGAGUUUCCUACCCUCUCAUCUCCCGGCAAUGCGGUUUCCUCUUCCCUUCACGGGCAGGGGGGACUUCCUUUCCUGCUUGAAAGUGGGUUCUCCCUCCUCAAUUUCGGGAUGGGAUAUAAAUACUUGUUUUUGGUUCCUUUUAUGGCAGACUUGGGUGUUAUUAGAGAGGCUUCUGCAAAUCUGCUCUUUAUUUUUUAUGGGAGCGAAUUUUUCAUGGCCAUGAGGGAUGUGGCCGUCAGUUUAUUAAAUGGGAGGAGGAAGCCUUGAGGAUGUGAAGAGUCUACUAAUCUCUGAGGUUACCUUUAAGGAUAUCGAGCAUGCCUCCUCUUUACGAUCUCCUUACCUUCAAGUCUUUGGAGCAACACAACUUUUUCCUUUGAUGGAUGGUCUAAUUUAGUGGUAUAUGGUAUAUCUAGGGCCACAAUGCCGAACAUUUUGCGGUGGCCGGCUCUUAAGGCGAGAAAUGUUGUGAGCUCUGCAUGCACGCCUCCUUUCAGGUGUUGAUGAUCAAUUUUAUGGUUCAUCUAGAGUUCGGGCUUUCUAAGGAAGCUAGGUUUAUUUUUGGCCUUCCUAUUGCUUUUUGGUCCUUUGUUUUGUGAUUUCUUGUGUAGUUUUCAAUGGUGUUGUACAUUGGAAUGGUGCCUUAUAAUAGAGAUGCAGAGGACGACGGCAAAGGAUGGUUGCUUUCUUUUUCCUUAGCUAGGGUUUUUAUGUUUUGGGCCUGUGCCUUUUUUUUAUUUUUUUUUGAGCU